RNAcentral lists this long non-coding RNA (238 nucleotides) under Trifolium pratense (red clover). RNAcentral's name for it is "long non-coding RNA (TPRA_LNC005956)". The record is from RNAcentral. Lineage: Eukaryota; Viridiplantae; Streptophyta; Magnoliopsida; Fabales; Fabaceae.
GGGAUGCAGAUUUGCUGCAGUAAACACCAAAACUUGUUAUUAAAACCCCAACCUCAGUCUUCAAUCUUCAUUACCAGUUUACCACCACCUUUCUCCGCACCUUCUUCUUAGUUCUUCCUACUACCAUGCUACUAUAUCCGUUGCUAGAGAUCCUUUUGCUGGAGUCGAAACUACUACUUUGUAGGACAAUCGCUUAUGUUUGUGUUCAUCAUCGACCGUAAUUUCUUUGAUUAAUGAG